UGGAGAGAAUCGCCCGUGGACAUCGGUGUUGUGCGCCGCGUGGUAACGUCAGACGCGUUUGCGAAACGGCGGUUAUCGUAAAGCGAAACCCACAAAUAAUGUGGGCACCGAACAACACGAACCGGACGGACGGAUAAACCCUACCAGGAGGGUGAAAGAAAACGGACAACAAAACGGUCGGGGGAGGGAUGAACGCGCGACGUUGUAACGAGAUUCCGGAUCCGCGCGGAACGUUUUCCGCGAUGAGCUUUUACGGAAUAAGACGGAGAGGGAAAGAACAACCGCGUUACUGUACGGGACGGCACUGUAUUUCGUCCGGAAACGACGACAGCCGCCGCGUUACACACACCCCCCCCACCCCGUUAAAAACCCGUCGAACCCGUAACGCGCCGUCGUCCGCGGCGUACCGUCUGAACGAUAAAUUGACGUUGUGCGGAGCGGUUUUCCGCACGCUAAAGGCUGCUAAAAGGCGCGAGCAUAACGCCUCUUUAAUAA
Molecule: non-coding RNA, 495 nt
Organism: Cinara cedri
Lineage: Eukaryota; Metazoa; Arthropoda; Insecta; Hemiptera; Aphididae
Source: the annotation of a GenBank genome assembly